ACGCGGAAACGACAGGAUCUUGCAAAUUACGUCAACGCGAAAUCACCAGAGAAAUAAACGAGAAAAAUCAGGACACCAGAAAUUUAGGUGGUUCGGUCCGAGUAUCGGUACCUACGUCCACAGGGAGAGCUAGCAGCAAAUAAUCCACUAAAAUCGGAGAAUCAGAGUUUACAAUCGCUCAAUCGCUCAAGUGUUUCCCGCACCUAGAUUUAACCCAAAACCCAAAGUGUAUAAAUAACAACUCGCUUGGGUAUAAACUCACGGCACAAAAAAUACCACGCGUCCCUUGCCUCGAAGUAUAACACGCGCGCGGCUCAAUCGUCACUUUGACGUGCGGCUUCUCUUCGGCGGACGUACGCGUGAACGUGGGACCUCUUGUGCGGCUACGUUCUUCGUUGGACGCUCGUACGUGAAACAAAGAAGAAAAACUCUCUGCUUCUUUUAUAUAUGUGGGCCCAAGUCAAAGGCCCACCACCACUUUUGAAUUCCUACGCAUGGAGGUCUUCACGCCGAACGUGUGUGUGCGCGAGUGUGCCCAAGGUCAAACCUUUGACCUUGGGCCCCACCAUUAAUCAUCCACGUCCAGAGGCUUCACGGCUUCAUUCUUCUUCUUCAAUUCGGAUUCCGCAACAGCAAAGAAGAAAGUUUCACUUCAAAUAUUUUACUUUUAUAUUUCUUCUUUUCCAGCGAAAAACUCGAGACAUAAUUUUAACAAAAGGUAUGCACUAAUCAGCUUCAAAGUCUGUGAAGAGAAUUCAAGAAUUACAAAAUGAAAAGUUAUAAGAGCCUAAAGAGAUGAAAUCAUUGAUAAAGGGUUGUAGAAAAAAAUAUUGGCGUCACUUACUAGGUAAUACAAUCCUAUUGUCACAACUAUAGAAGGAACAAAGGAUUUAACAACCUGUUAGUGAGUGAAUUGAUUGGCUCUCUAGAAGCACAUAAAAAAAGGCUGAUGGCACAAGAUGAAGAUUCGAUUGAAAGCGCCUUUCAAUCUAAAAUAAACGUGCGGUCUCAUCAAUCUAAAAAUAAUGGAAGGAACUCAUGGAAAAAUAAAGGAGGAGGAGAAACUACACAAAAGGAAAAAUAUCCACCUUGUAGAAUUUGCAAGCAAAACAAUCGUUUGGAGAAAGAUCGCUAAUCUUGUAAAAAACCACAAUGCUGGUAAAAGAUAUGGCCACAUAUAAAAAGAUUGUCACUCAAAAACAAAUUAUUGAGCCAAUCUUGUGGAAGAAAAAGAAAGUGUAGAUCAUACAUUCUAUGUAGGCUGAGUGGCAAAGGAUGAGAAACAUGAUACAUAGUAUAUUGAUAGUGGGUGUAGCAAUCAUAUGAUGGGGAAAGAAUCCAUAUUGGUGAAAUCUCAAGUGAAAUUGAGCAACAAUGAGUUAGUUGAUGUAGUGGGAAAAGGCACUAUCGCUGUUGAAACAUAUGAAGCCCAAAAUAUAUUCACAAUGUAUAUUCAGUCCCUAGUCUUGCACAAUCUACUGAGCAUGGGCCAAAUGAUACAAAGUGGGUAUUACUUUAGAGGAGAUGCCUACAUUAUCUAUGAUAAAUAUAAACAUAUUAUUGCCUAUGUUAAAAUGGAGAAUAGGAACUUUCCUAUUUGAUGGAAAUAUGUCAAAAAUAUUGUUAUGAAAGCUCAACUUUAUGAUUCAUGAUUAUCGCACCAAAGAUUUGGCCACUUCAACUUUGCUAGGUUAAAAUUUCUCCAUUAGAAAUAUAUGAUGGGAGACUUUCCAGCCAUUUUGGGAAUUUCAGACGUUUGGGAAUGCUGCCUCCUUGGAAAACAAUAAAGAUAGUUCUUAUCAUCUAAAGGCGCAUGGAGAACUAAAAAGCCACUGUGAGUAGCUCAUACAGAUAUAUGUGGUUUAAUGAAGAUCCCCACACCCAAUCACUAUAAAUCCUAAUCAUCGACGACACUCUUGCAUUUUUCGAGAAAGAUCGUAGGUUUUCUCUAUUUUCUGGAAAUUCAAAAACCACAUUGAGAAUCAAAGUUCUAAGGAGUGACAGAGGCAUGGAAUACAACUCAAGAGAGUAUUAUAAAAUUUGUCAAGAGAUGAAGGAGUUCAUUAUCAACAAACAGUUGGCUAAGCCCUGGAGCAAAAUUGAGAUGCAAAAAGGAAGAUUCACACGAUCUCUCAUGUUCAUGGAAACAUCAUUCGCUAAUUAGGUAACCUUCUUAACCGAUUUGGUCCAUCGCAAACAGCAGAUGAAGAUAUGAGUUACUAGAGAUAACCCAAGCAUGUCGACUAUGGAUUAGUUCAUGUCGGUGUAUCGUUAUUUCGAAUCAUCCUUAGUUCAAGAGGAUGAUUCCAUUUUACCAGAGUUACAAUGGUCUGUGGGGGAUGGCACAAAGAUUAGUAUUCGAGAAGACCGAUGGCUUCCUAUGGGCAUUAUUGGUGGACCUGCUAAUCGCAAUGAGCCACGACUGGUGGCAGAUUUGAUGUUGCCGAGUUUGAAUCAGUGGAAUGGUCCCCUUAUUAAUCACUUAUUUGAUGAACCGGUUUCCAGAGAAGUUCUUAAUAUUCCCCUAAGCUCUACUUGCCAUGAAGAUAGGCUAAUCUGGACAGCUACUGCUCAGGGUCAGUAUUCUGUUAAAAGUGCAUAUUACAGUUUAUCCUCUUACAUUCAGCCAUCUGAGCCUAUUUGGAAGAGAUUAUGGACUCUUAAAACUGUCCCUAAACUUCGGUUCUUUCUUUGGUCUGUUUAUCACAAUGCUCUCCCAACCAAGACAAAUCUUUUUAACAUACACAUCAGCCCUGACCCAACAUGCACAUUAUGUUCUUAGCGAGCGCCUGAAUCAAUCGAGCACCUACUUCUUCUAUGCCCCUGGACUACAGCAGUUUGGUCACACCCUAAGAUUGCUAUCAAUCAUUCUCAAACAGCAGCACAACACAUGACAGAGUGGCUUGAAGCUAGAUUUCGAGAUAAAACGCUGUUACCUGGCAUGGAAAUUAUUGCAGCCCUUCUCUGGCAAAUAUGGAAGGCGCGAAACAGGUUCAUCUUCACUAGUAAGAAGCCUGAUCCAUCUUUUGUGGUCGAAUCUGCCUUAACUCAGUCGCGAUUUGCUCGGAUCAACCAUCUUUCCUCUUCAACUGCGUCAACCCCAGGAAUCAACUUUUCUGCUCCUUCUACCCUGUGGCGACCCCCUGAUCCAGGUGUACUCAAAGUCAAUAUCGAUGGGGCUUUUCAGGUUGCUGACUCCAGAGGCGCAAUCGCUAUCAUUUGCAGAAAUCAUUUGGGUAAAAUGGUGGAUGGGUAUACCUCUCGUGUGGCUGCUGCUUCAGCGUUGCAGGUGGAAAUUUCUGCCCUCCUGUCGGUGCUGCACCAUCUCCGUUGACUCGGCAAAACCAACGCUCCCUUGAUUUUGGAAUCUGACUGCCUUGCCAUGAUCAACGCCGUUGAAGAUCCUCGGAAGACUCCCUGGGCGCUUCGGCCCUUGUUUGACGAAGUGGCUACUCUUCUCCGCUGUUUCUCUCGACUGCAGUUAGGGUUUGUCCCUCGUACGGCCAACGCAGUUGCCGAUUGGGCUGCAAAGGCCCAAUUGGGCGGUACCUUAUCUUCCUCUUGGCUCGCAUUUCCCCCUCCUUUAUU
Molecule: long non-coding RNA, 3588 nt
Filed under: Eucalyptus grandis
Lineage: Eukaryota; Viridiplantae; Streptophyta; Magnoliopsida; Myrtales; Myrtaceae
Description: long non-coding RNA (EGRA_LNC006429)
Source: RNAcentral